GAUGAACGCUGGCGGCGUGCCUAAUACAUGCAAGUCGAGCGAACGGACGAGAAGCUUGCUUCUCUGGUGUUAGCGGCGGACGGGUGAGUAACACGUGGAUAACCUACCUAUAAGACUGGGAUAACUUCGGGAAACCGGAGCUAAUACCGGAUAAUAUUUUGAACCGCAUGGCUCAAAAGUGAAAGACGGUCUUGCUGUCACUUAUAGAUGGAUCCGCGCUGCAUUAGCUAGUUGGUAAGGUAACGGCUUACCAAGGCAACGAUGCAUAGCCGACCUGAGAGGGGGAUCGGCCACACUGGAACUGAGCCACGGUCCAGACUCCUACGGGAGGCAGCGGUGGGGAAUCUUCCGCAAUAGGCGAAAGCCUGACGGAGCACCGCCGCGUGAGUGAUGAGGGUCUGCGGAUCGUAAAACUCUGUUAUUAGGGAAGAACAUAUGUGUAAGUAACUGUGCACAUCUUGACGGUACCUAAUCAGAAAGCCACGGCUAACUACGUG
This 497-nucleotide ribosomal RNA is filed under the name uncultured bacterium. RNAcentral's name for it is "partial 16S ribosomal RNA". It matches the Rfam family "Bacterial small subunit ribosomal RNA", at positions 28 to 507 of the family's 1533-position model. The record is from RNAcentral.